Molecule: unclassified non-coding RNA, 370 nt
Filed under: fungal sp.
Lineage: Eukaryota; Fungi
Description: partial internal transcribed spacer region
Source: RNAcentral
AAGUCGUAACAAGGUUUCCGUAAACGUUAAACAACCCUGUGAACUUUAAGUCCCCCUCUUGCAGCCCAUGAGGAACAGCAAUCCCGGUAAAUCAUUGCCAAACAGUUUUGAUUCGGGACCUCUGUCCAAAAGGAGUUGCAAUCGAAGGGUGGAAGCAGUGGCAUGGCUUCCCCAAGCAGUUAGUGAAUGACAGUGUCACUGACUGUGUAAGGAUAACGCCUCACGGUUGCUAGAGGUCGAUCACCGACCGGCAGACAUGUCACAGGGUCACCACGCCCCUUAAUCACUCCACUUGAAAAUGCCCCGCCUAGUGGUAACGCGCUAGGUAAAAAAAACCGAACAACUGUUAACAAUGGAUAUCUUGGUUCUC